UAUCACAUGACCACUCAAUUUGUUUACAUCGGAUAUGUUCUUUAAUGUAAAUCAUCACACCCCCUCCUCUUCCUUCAAUCCUGUCUCUCCUGAAAACAUUGUAGCCAGGCACAAUCAAAGCAGCACAUGGAGUGUCCAUGGAGCCAUGUCUCUGAGAGGCAGAGAAAGUCAAGGUUGGAGUCUGCCAGGAACAGUGAACCUACCCCAUCUGAAGCAGACAACUCUCAGACAGGGAUAGAGCUCCUAGUUGUGUUUAAUGGAGGACACCUCCAUACUGCUGGUGGACAUCAGCCCCAGAGCUCUGAAAGACUCAGAACACCUGCCAAGGUGAUCUCACCUGUGUGUACAUGGAUAGCCCCUCCGCUUCCUCUCGGGGUAGGAGGAGCCCCAGUCCUGCCAAUGACCCUGCCUCUCCACCAACCGCCUGUCAACAAGGUGUUGAGAAUGGCAACUUGGGAAGCCUUUUUACAGCUGUAGAUGAUGAGGACGAGUGUUCUUCCACCAAUCGUCUACAGAGGCUGCUUGCUGAGUCUCAUCAGAUGGUGGCUAGCUCAGAAUGUACAACCCUAAAACCUCUAAGCCCCUUCCACAGCCUAGCUUCUAACGCUGUGACGCUGUCAUUAGCCUCAGCAUCAGCCACGAUAGUGGAAACAAUAACCAUGGAAACCUCAGUUGGAACCGUGACAGCUAAAGUCAAAGCAAUCCCAAUCACUACCUCAACCAGAGCUCCACCCACACCCAACUUUUUUGAUUGGCUCCUAUUGUAUGUGCUUUUUUUACAGAACCCGGGACAUGGCAAUGGGCAGUGAAUGAAUUAAACUCCUUUUUUAGAAAACCAAA
This is a non-coding RNA of Oncorhynchus mykiss (rainbow trout), 840 nucleotides long. The record is from RefSeq and is a predicted model, not a curated record. NCBI's taxonomy places the organism in Eukaryota, Metazoa, Chordata, Actinopteri, Salmoniformes, Salmonidae.